CCCUCCCAGCCACCCUUCCCUUGUGGUCUCUUUAAAAUGGGGUACCUAAUGAAAUAAAAAAGUUUCCCCUCUCAAUUCAUGUAAUGUUUUACCUAAUUAACGUUUUGUUAAUUAUGCUAGUAUUGCAAACUUAUGCUAGCAGUCCAAAAACUGUAAACACCAGACAAUUACACCCAUAAAGUUUUGACUUUAUGAUUAUAUUUACUCCGGUAUGUGACGAUAAAUUAGCGUGCUGUAUUUUCAUUUACAAAUUAAACUAUGCAAAUUAUUAAUUAAUCAAUUAAACACUAUAUUAUUUAUAAUUAUAGUCUAUUAAUUAGUCGAAACGUGUUAAAUUCAACCUUUAAACUGCACCCCCAGUAAAAAUUCCUCUAAUAGCAUAAUCAAAGCUUUAUUGCAGGGUUUCCGCGGGUCUUAAAAAAGUCUUAAAAAUUCUUAAAUCACUUUCCCGUGAAUUAAGGACUUGAAAAGGUCUUAAAUCAGAGCAGAAAGUGUUAAAUUCAUAUGAUCAUGGCAUUCAUUUUCGUGAGGGAUUGUUUCCUCAUGCGUUUCAUUUUAAAGUAAAGUGAAGCGAAGGCGUAAUUUCUGUGCUACAUCGCUUAAGUCGCUCAAUAUUCAUUAAAAAAUGCGCGGUAGAUGGCGGUAUUUGCUGCUUCAUCUGUCAGUCACCAGGAGAAGAACUUGUCCUUUUGAAUUUUGUAUAGCAAUAAAAAUCAUUUAGUUUAGUUAGAGAAUAGACAAUACAAUUAAAACUGAACACGGCUGCUCAAUGCAGUGUGCCGAACGACAGUCGCAGAGCAGAUUUCAUUUAUCAUGCACUCUAAAAAGUGCUGGGUUAUUUCUGUAAACACAUUACUGGGUUAUUUGUUCUGGGUCAGAAUUCUGGGUUUUUUUGAGGUACUGUAAACACACAGUUGGGUUGAUCAUGCUGGGUCAAAUGGACUUUCACCACUGAACACGCGGGUUGGGUUAUUUUAACCCAACCGGUUUGUUUAUUUUUCCACUUCAUCGAACUUUCUGGAUUCUUCACUCGUCUCCUCGUCAGGCGGUCACGAAAUUCGCAGCAAGCAGGAUUAUACGGUAAGAUAAUUUGAUUAUAUGAUUAUUUACCUUUAUUUUUAACAAGUUGUGGUUUAAAGCACAUGAUUUCACUGUUUAAUGAAAUAUUUGAUAUGUCGCUGUGCGGGGUUAGGGUUUAUUCUGUGAAUGAUUAACGAACGUUAAGUAGUAGCCUAUAGUGAGGUACUUUCUUGCCUCAACAAUCGCUUCAUUGUUAAAUAAAAGUUGUGUGUGUGCACGUGCAAAGUUUUAUUCAUAUAUAACACACAUGUCCCUUUUUUUAACGCUUCAUGAGAACAGGCAUAGGUUAGAAAUACGGGGUAAGUUCAGUUACUGUCUGCUUACUGUAUGGCAUUGUAAUGUUUUGUCAGAAUUAUGUCAUUUCGUACUAAAAUUGAUCUUUUAAGGUCAUUUUUUUUUCAAGUCAAUGUUUGCGACGUGCCGAAUCCAACGUUAAAUCCGUCAUUGUUAUGUUGUGCAUUUUCGCGCUCUUUUUUUCCUCAGGUAGCUGCAUUAGCUGCGCUAUUCACCUUACUUUAACUCUCGUGGUGUAUAAGCAGUGGUGUAGUGCAGGGUAUACGCAGGUAUACGGCUUAUGUCCACUUCUUUAUCAGUUGGCUUUGCGUGUACCCACUUCUAAUCCCCUCUGCUGCGCAUCGAGAUGUCCUGCAUUAGCCAAAAUCGCGACAGUCCACCACAUGAAUAGCUAAUUUAAUCGCAUAUGAGUAUAUACAAAUAUUCCCUAAAAACACCCGGUAACGACAGUGAUGCGGUCAGAACAGUGGCGCUUCCUUUUAAAUAUAUUUGAUGAUUUGCGCCUAAAUGCGCCCGCGCCCGCUUCAUCCGCUCCUCCACCCAGAUGCUGCUGUUCACACGCGAUGGCUCUGAUACAGAGAAAACCCGACCGAUUUAAUCAGAAACUGUGGAGAAUCACGUGAUCACCUGAUCUGUGUUUGAUGUGCUGCAAACGCAUUAACCUGCUUUCUAUAUAAAAUAAGUUUUGUGAAAUUCUAAUUUUCUAAAUCUGAAAUUUCAUUCUAGAUAUGUGAGAUUCUUGCUGGUGCGGAUGGACAGCUUUGUAAUAGAGAAGUUGAAGGAAAGGCAGCUUGAUACCCUGGUUAAAACCUUUGAAGAUUUCACAAGACUUCAGGAAGCUACAUCCAGAGGCAGACUUUUUGUAGACUGGGCUACAUUUGCAAGAUGGAAAGGUGCAUUAAGACCUGGGUGACAUGACGUCAGGGGAGAGUGCUCAUUCUGUCCUGCCCAUUCUGGAGGAAGGGUCCACAGAACCACAACCACAGAAGUCUGGAAGCCAUUCACUGACAUACAAACCUAUGCAGACCAGCAUGGUGGAUUUGUGCCUAUUGGGGAUGAGACAACGACAUCCCAGACCUUCGCCCUUUGUUAAGGGCCGUGCCACUGAAGCCACUGACUUGUUGUCUGGGAAUUUCUCCAGCUUGCAGUAUAUUUUUGAGUGUUCUGCUGCUGCAAUGUUGACAAAGAAUCGCAAUCUACAGUGCCUAGUUUACACAGUUUUGUGUUUUAAAGUAACUGAUCUACUAAAAUUGUUGUUUUAUGUGUCUUUAAUGGUUGGAUAAAAUGUUUGACAGCUGCA
Molecule: long non-coding RNA, 2674 nt
Organism: Labeo rohita (rohu)
Lineage: Eukaryota; Metazoa; Chordata; Actinopteri; Cypriniformes; Cyprinidae
Exons: 4
Source: RefSeq, a predicted model, not a curated record